GCUAAAGUGGUGCUCCAGGUUAAGAACAGUUUCAGGUUAAGAACGGACCUCCAGAAUGAAUUAAGUUCUUAACUUGAGGUACCACUGUAUAACUGUUUGGGAUUUACUUCUUUUUCCAUAUACCUGGCUAAAAUUACAUUAAGAGUCUGGCAAGGAUGCAAAGCCAAAAGGAGUGAAAGUGCUUUGCAUGAGUGAUAUUUUUGUUCAGGUUAAGCUAUAUAGAGUUUAAAUUCUCCAUAUAGAUGCAAUCCCCACGAAAGAGAGCCUCGUAUUGCCUAAUCCCUUCCCAGUAGUAUUAUUAUUAAUUACUACAACUACUAUUUUAAUAGGUUGUCCUCCGUUCACCCUAAGGUCCCAAGGUAGGUUACAACAGUUAAAAUACAAUGUUAAAAACAGCUUAAACAAUCGACGCCUGCAAAAAUAGGGUGGCAGGUGUCAAAGAGUUGGGUCUUCUGCAUUUGCCGAAAGCUGUAUUUUCACAACUAAGGGGCUGUCACAGUGGAUGUCCUCUCCCAGCCCAUCACCUCCCUGAGAUUCUGAGGACGGUGUAACUACCAAGAGGGACCUCUCUGCUGAACUUUGACACCCGAGGGGGUCUGUAGAGACCUCCCCUGCCUUACCCUUCCCUUUUUUUUGGGGAGAAUACUAGGCUGGCAAAGGAAAGGAAGAAAAUUAGUGUUUGGAUCUGCAUUAUUUUAUGGCUAUAGAUAGGAAGGAACUGGAGCAAACAGAAAUGCAGGAAAAUAAGUGGGAGUCAGAGGCUUGUUAGAAAAUUGUACUGUGACAAAUGUUUCUGUCGGCAGCCUAGCUGCAAACUAGGCAUAGGCAAACUCGGCCCUCCAGAUGUUUUGGGACUACAACUCCCAUCAUCCCAAACUAACAGGACCAGUGGUCAGGGAUGAUGGGAAUUGUAGUCCCAAAACAUCUGGAGGGCUAAAUUUGCCUAUGCCUGCUGUAAACCAAGAUGAUAAAUGGAUACCCGUCAGACCCCUAAGUUGUCAAGAUUUAAUUGUGAAUUAAACAUUCACUGAAGUGAAUAUAUAGUUCACUGUGAAGCUUGCUUGUCUCCCCCCGCCGCCACCUCCUAUCAAAAAAGACUAUUGGUACUAUCACUGAUCAUCUGAGUUAAGCACCUGACUGAUGGUGCAAUGUUUUUCUCCUACCACUAUUGGUGCAGAACGAAAUGUGAUGUUUGCUGUUCAUAGUUAUCCUCUCCCUACAACAUUUAGGAAAAGCCGUGGCUUCCUGCCAGCAACAGCCAGUCACGUGGAACAGAGAGCUCAAGACCCUUAAGUUGCUCAGCUGUCUGCGAUAUCAACAACAUAUCGAACAAGGAGGCCUAAGCUAAGACAGUAGAAACUUCUCAAGUGAGGCAGUCACAGCAGCAGGUUGCAGUACUAUGUCAGACUUCAGAAGAUGAAGCAGCACAAAACGGUAGGAUACACAUAAGUACUUAAAGGGGGGGAAAGGGGAAUGCUUAAGAUAAGAGCAGCUGUUUUCAGGCCUUGUGAAGGCAUCCUUUGCCAGCUGUUCCAAUUUGUGGUAUAGACAUCAAAAUGAGCGUGCAGACUCUGCUGCACGUUGUUCAAAUUUCAGGGGCUCACAUAGACACAUAAAAGCUGCAGUGAGGUCAGAGGCUGAGAAGUGGUCUACAGGCUUACAAGAGUUGCUCUCAGACCUUAAGAACCACCAGUGCCGCAUCCUGUGUGGCAGUGAACAAGGUUCAGGUGGCAGAAGGCAAGGCGGCUGAUGGCCUUGCAUGAGUUGGGAUGCUUGGAAACAGGAUGUGCGUGCCAUGGCAGCAGCAACACUAAGCACAUCUUCCCCCAAGAAACACUGAGACAUACCCCUGAAAGUCAAAUUCCAGCCCACCACUAGAAGGCAGCUUGUAAGGGGCUGGGG
This is a non-coding RNA of Podarcis muralis (Common wall lizard), 1902 nucleotides long. NCBI's taxonomy places the organism in Eukaryota, Metazoa, Chordata, Lepidosauria, Squamata, Lacertidae. The record is from RefSeq and is a predicted model, not a curated record.